GAUGAACGCUGGCGGCGUGCCUAAUACAUGCAAGUCGAGCGAACGGACGAGAAGCUUGCUUCUCUGAUGUUAGCGGCGGACGGGUGAGUAACACGUGGAUAACCUACCUAUAAGACUGGGAUAACUUCGGGAAACCGGAGCUAAUACCGGAUAAUAUUUUGAACCGCAUGGUUCAAAAGUGAAAGACGGUCUUGCUGUCACUUAUAGAUGGAUCCGCGCUGCAUUAGCUAGUUGGUAAGGUAACGGCUUACCAAGGCAACGAUGCAUAGCCGACCUGAGAGGGUGGUCGGCCACAUUGGAACUGAGACACGGUCCAGACUCCGACGGGAGGAAGCAGUAGGGAAUCUUCCGCGAUGGGGGAAAGCCUGACGGAGCAAAGCCGCGGGAGUGAUGAAGGUCUUCGGAUCGUAAAGCGCUGUUGUUAGGGAAGAACAUAUGUGUAGGUAACUGUGAACAUCAUGACGGUACCUAAUCAGAAAGCCACGGCUAACUACGUG
RNAcentral lists this ribosomal RNA (497 nucleotides) under uncultured bacterium. RNAcentral describes it as "partial 16S ribosomal RNA". It matches the Rfam family "Bacterial small subunit ribosomal RNA", at positions 28 to 507 of the family's 1533-position model. The record is from RNAcentral.